RNAcentral lists this transfer RNA (71 nucleotides) under Mycoplasmopsis meleagridis. Its description in RNAcentral is "Mycoplasma meleagridis tRNA-Trp". It matches the Rfam family "tRNA". From Rfam's summary of the family: Transfer RNA (tRNA) molecules are approximately 80 nucleotides in length. The record is from RNAcentral. Lineage: Bacteria; Bacillati; Mycoplasmatota; Mycoplasmoidales; Metamycoplasmataceae. RNAcentral also lists the same sequence under 1 other name.
GGGGGUUUAGUAUAAUGGCAUUACUGCGGUCUCCAAAACCGUUUAUAAGGGUUCGAAUCCUUUAACCCCUG